This 467-nucleotide ribosomal RNA is filed under the name uncultured bacterium. RNAcentral's name for it is "partial 16S ribosomal RNA". It matches the Rfam family "Bacterial small subunit ribosomal RNA", at positions 28 to 507 of the family's 1533-position model. The record is from RNAcentral.
GACGAACGCUGGCGGCGUGCUUAACACAUGCAAGUCGAACGGAAAGGCCCUGCUUUUGUGGGGUGCUCGAGUGGCGAACGGGUGAGUAACACGUGAGUAACCUGCCCUUGACUUUGGGAUAACUUCAGAAAACUGGGGCUAAUACCGGAUAGGAGCUCCUGCUGCAUGGUGGGGGUUGGAAAGUUUCGGCGGUUGGGGAUGGACUCGCGGCUUAUCAGCUUGUUGGUGGGGUAGUGGCUUACCAAGGCUUUGACGGGUAGCCGGCCUGAGAGGGUGACCGGCCACAUUGGGACGGAGAUACGGCCCAGACUCCUACGGGAGGCAGCGGUGGGAAUAUUGCACAAUGGGCGGAAGCCUGAUGCAGCAACGCCGCGUGCGGGAUGACGGCCUUCGGGUUGUAAACCGCUUUCGCCUGUGACGAAGCGUGAGUGACGGUAAUGGGUAAAGAAGCACCGGCUAACUACGUG